CCUUUACAGUAACGAACACUCUCUCAAUAAGAAACUGAGCAAUCCAACCGAAACCCCUGCACUUCUUCUCCAAUGCCGCUACUCUCCUCUCUCUUCUUCUCCAUUCCUCAUUCCUUCAUCCCUCAAACUCGAACCCUAACUCUAACCCUAUAUUUCGUAUUCCGUCAAGAACCCUAACCCUAAUUUCAUCCACAAAAACCCUUCUGAGAAAGCUAAACUCACCACUGAACCUCCGCCGCCUUCAGAAAAGAAGUCUCUUGCAGUGGCCACCGACGAUCUCUUCCUUUGGUGAUUGCUAAUUGGUUUGACAAAUGAUCGAUGGAGGUUGCAGGGAUCUUUCUCGGGCCGAUCCUUGAGAUGCUCGUGGUGUUAAGGGAGGAACUCAUCGACUUGUUUACGAUUAGGAUGAUUUUCUCCAUGAUGUGGUUACUCAAAUUUUGUGACUCGGGGCAGAAUUUCAAGGUAGCACCACUCCUCCUAGUGUGGGUGGCUAUGGCAGCUCUCAUCGGUGUUAUCCAUAUUCCAUCAGUUGAGAAAACUAGCUGUGUAUCUCAGGUGCUAGGCACGUGCCCUGUCAGCUCACACAAUCCCAGAAGGUUUGUCAGAUUAAACAAUUGUCUCAGCAGCUCAGGUGCUGCAGUUUUUGAAAUCUGAGGGUAAACUUGCCUUUUAUAGAAGGGCAGCUGGGUGAAGGGUAGUGUGAUCAUUUAAUGCCUACAACGGUCUGAUUAUCCUCUGCAGCAGCAUUUGGUCUAUAUAUUGUAUUUGCUGCUGCAGAGAACUGUGUGUAUUGAAUUUUGAAAUUCUGAGAGAAGCUUGAGGAGUGACUGCAUCUUUACUGUGUUGAGAGUAUUUCUAAAAUUCUGGAGAGCUUAUUGAAGAUAUGACAAUGCCAAAAUACAUUGUUGAUAGUGAGGAUUGAAGCUCAGCAGAAAAUACUGUGCUAAGCUGCAGAUUUUAGUCACAGCUUCUUUCAAGACCAUGAGGUGAAAUCUUUCUUCAUAUCUGGUCUUUUGAGUCACUUUCUGGGCUAAGCAAUUCACAAAUCUCAUUCUAAGCCUAGUCCGGGGCUACACCAGUAAAAGCUAAGGCUGCAUCAAAAUCUCACCAAGUAAACCUAGCCAUUAGUGUCUAUUUGCUGCUAUUAAGCCUCAGAUGAAGCUGUCAAGGGUUCCACAUACAAAUCUGAGUCCCAUCUUGAUGUGAGCAUGUGUAAAUCAUCAAUGCAUAGCUGUUAAAUCCAUCAUCAAGAAGCAACUGAGGCUGUCUCAUGUUCUCACUACUCAAACCUCAGAUUGCAGUAACAGCAGCUGCAGGUUCGCUGUUUUCGAGCAAUGCAAAAGCAUCUAUAGAUUGAUUUCAAUGAGCCAAUCCCAAUUUGUUACUCAAUCUCAGGGCGUUCUUAUUUCAACAGUCAUUUCGGCUACUUCUGCAGCUAGCUGCUGUAAAUGAAACUAUUAUCCGACUGUCUCACACUUUUUGGGACAUCUCAAUGAAUAUCUUUCUGUGUCAGAUUUUGCAGAAAUUAAAGGAAGUGAAUUUCGCUUCUUAUUAAUGAACUAUCUAAAUAUUAUUUCAUCUCGAGGCUUCAGAAUAAGAUUGUUGUAACUUCGAGUCUGUUAUAACUGGAAUAUCUUAUGGGAGAUUUUCUAGUCACCAUUGAUAUGAACUUGAAAUUGUCGUAAUACAGGAGUUGACAGAAUAUGUGAGAAUCAGGCUGCCAUUUCAUGAUUUUAAAGUCCUUUCAAAAAAAUGGGCAACCCCAAUAACAAUUCUUGUAUAUUCAGCGAAUUUUGACAA
Cornus florida is the source of this 1800-nucleotide long non-coding RNA. RefSeq lists it as uncharacterized. The transcript has 5 exons. Lineage: Eukaryota; Viridiplantae; Streptophyta; Magnoliopsida; Cornales; Cornaceae. The record is from RefSeq and is a predicted model, not a curated record.